GACAAACGAGUAUGUAUAUAUACCUUUUCGACAUACACUACUGAUGAAAUGUGUACGUGGUAAUAUUGAGUACAAAUAUGCAAGGAAUGUAUCUGUAUAAUACUAUUGACUAUCUAACAAAAGAAAAAUAUAAUAUUUUAUUAGAACUCUAAUCUAAAAGUAUCGAGUGAUACUGCUACGAAUAAUUAUGUGGAGUAAAUCAUGCUCUGUCAUCCUGUCUGGCAUCCUCUCGAAGCAUCAACACCUUGAAAGAUUUAUCUGUCUCUGGGAAGUAAUGUUACAUUCACGAAUCUAGGUAUCAGGUGAUACUCUAAUCCAAAAACCGUAUAUUUGCCAAGUGAUCUUCCCCGGAUAGAUCUAUAGCCUAGAAGGGAAUAGAUAAAAUCAUAUCCAUGAGUUCUGACGCAAGGGAAAAAAAACAAUAUAACAAACCGGUAACAUGCAUAUUUGUCGACGACAAGUAUAUAUGAGAAGCAAAGCUGCUUGUCGCCACCAGAACUUCAGAAGGGACAGAAACGCCUCAAUGUCGUGCGAUAGCAGCUAGAUCAAUGGAAUCAACUGCCCCGGAUCUACAAGCUGCAAAGGGAUUUGAUUGGAAUAAAUAAAUCGAUAAUAGACAGAUUAAGACUCUCAACCAAACCUGGAUCCGUGUUCACGAUUUUCCUGGUCGCCGUCGCUAGGGGAUGUCGUAGUCGGCUCGUUGCUGGGUGGGCCGCUCGAUCGUGGGGGGCUGUCACCAUUGGGCGGGCUACGCCGGCGUCGUCCGUGCUGGUCGAACCACGCCAUCUCCGCCUAAGACGCCGAUACAAGCAGGGGAAGCACCCUUCAUCCGGCCGGUACUGCUGCUCGCCCUCUCCCAUGAACCUCGCUAGCGAUGGCAAGUUGAGAGGUUGAGGGGAUGGAGGAGGGAGACGACGCCAGGAGCGACCUUGGCGGUGGUGAAGCAAGAAAGCAGGAGGACGACGGUGACGAAAUCCACUAAUUUCGGAUCUCCC
Molecule: long non-coding RNA, 995 nt
Filed under: Sorghum bicolor (sorghum)
Lineage: Eukaryota; Viridiplantae; Streptophyta; Magnoliopsida; Poales; Poaceae
Description: long non-coding RNA (SBIC_LNC007549)
Source: RNAcentral